CAACUUUCAACAACGGAUCUCUUGGUUCUGGCAUCGAUGAAGAACGCAGCGAAAUGCGAUACGUAGUGUGAAUUGCAGAAUUCAGUGAAUCAUCGAAUCUUUGAACGCACAUUGCGCCCUUUGGUAUUCCAAAGGGCAUGCCUGUUCGAGCGUCAU
Molecule: ribosomal RNA, 156 nt
Filed under: Bipolaris maydis (southern corn leaf blight pathogen)
Lineage: Eukaryota; Fungi; Ascomycota; Dothideomycetes; Pleosporales; Pleosporaceae
Also listed under: 46 other names
Description: 5.8S ribosomal RNA
Rfam family: 5.8S ribosomal RNA
About the family: 5.8S ribosomal RNA (5.8S rRNA) is a component of the large subunit of the eukaryotic ribosome. It is transcribed by RNA polymerase I as part of the 45S precursor that also contains 18S and 28S rRNA.
Source: RNAcentral